AUUUCACAUUGGAUUAGACUGCCCAGGAGGGCAACGCUGGGCUGGGGCAGCCGGGCAACUCUGCCAGGGCCUCGCUGCCCACUGAGCUGCCUUCCACAGCUCGCUAGACCCCCAUGAUUGUGGCUGUGAAUUGUGCCAGCCACCCUGAUAAACACACCACUGCCUCCACCCCAUGACACACGGAAUUUGGGGGGAGGGAAGGAAGAACUCAGGAUCCGCCUAAUGGGAAUGGAGCCGGCAAUUUCCUGCUGCCUUGCUUUCUCCGCCAGCCCCUGGCCCACAGUCCAGCCUCAGAAGGCUGAGGGGGGUGCUUCGGUUUCGUUUCUUUUUUCUCAACGGGUCGACAUUUUAAAUUUCUCAGUAUCCAAGGCAUUAUGAGGACUUAGGAAACAGAUGCAUUUAAUCUAAUUAAAGCAAGGACGGCGAGUGAGUGAAAAAUUACAUUUUCACUUGGGUUCUGAACAUUCAGUUGCACAUCCAAGAAUAAUGAUGUUUUUAAAGCCAGCCCAAUAAACUUGAGAUUGCAAGUUU
This is a long non-coding RNA of Homo sapiens (human), 531 nucleotides long. Ensembl annotates it as long intergenic non-protein coding RNA 2939. Lineage: Eukaryota; Metazoa; Chordata; Mammalia; Primates; Hominidae. The record is from Ensembl.